This 498-nucleotide ribosomal RNA is filed under the name uncultured bacterium. RNAcentral's name for it is "partial 16S ribosomal RNA". It matches the Rfam family "Bacterial small subunit ribosomal RNA", at positions 30 to 523 of the family's 1533-position model. The record is from RNAcentral.
AUUGAACGCUGGCGGCAUGCCUUACACAUGCAAGUCGAACGGUAACAGGUCUUCGGAUGCUGACGAGUGGCGAACGGGUGAGUAAUACAUCGGAACGUGCCUAGUAGUGGGGGAUAACUACUCGAAAGAGUGGCUAAUACCGCAUGAGAUCUACGGAUGAAAGCAGGGGAUCGCAAGACCUUGUGCUACUAGAGCGGCCGAUGGCAGAUUAGGUAGUUGGUGGGAUAAAAGCUUACCAAGCCGACGAUCUGUAGCUGGUCUGAGAGGACGAUCAGCCACACUGGGACGGAGACGCGGCCCAGACUCCUACGGGAGGCAGCAGUGGGGAAUUUUGGACAAUGGGCGCAAGCCUGAUCCAGCAAUGCCGCGUGCAGGAUGAAGGCCUUCGGGUUGUAAACUGCUUUUGUACGGAACGAAAAGCCCUGGGUUAAUACCCUGGGGUCAUGACGGUACCGUAAGAAUAAGCACCGGUUAACUACGUGCCAGCAGCCGCCGUAA